RNAcentral lists this ribosomal RNA (580 nucleotides) under uncultured bacterium. RNAcentral describes it as "bacterial SSU rRNA". It matches the Rfam family "Bacterial small subunit ribosomal RNA", at positions 337 to 907 of the family's 1533-position model. The record is from RNAcentral.
UCCUACGGGAGGCAGCAGUAGGGAAUCUUCCGCAAUGGACGAAAGUCUGACGGAGCAACGCCGCGUGAGUGAUGAAGGCUUUCGGGUCGUAAAACUCUGUUGUUAGGGAAGAACAUGUGCUAGUUGAAUAAGCUGGCACCUUGACGGUACCUAACCAGAAAGCCACGGCUAACUACGUGCCAGCAGCCGCGGUAAUACGUAGGUGGCAAGCGUUAUCCGGAAUUAUUGGGCGUAAAGCGCGCGCAGGUGGUUUCUUAAGUCUGAUGUGAAAGCCCACGGCUCAACCGUGGAGGGUCAUUGGAGACUGGGAGACUUGAGUGCAGAAGAGGAAAGUGGAAUUCCAUGUGUAGCGGUGAAAUGCGUAGAGAUAUGGAGGAACACCAGUGGCGAAGGCGACUUUCUGGUCUGUAACUGACACUGAGGCGCGAAAGCGUGGGGAGCAAACAGGAUUAGAUACCCUGGUAGUCCACGCCGUAAACGAUGAGUGCUAAGUGUUAGAGGGCUUCCGCCCUUUAGUGCUGAAGUUAACGCAUUAAGCACUCCGCCUGGGGAGUACGACCGCAAGGCUGAAACUCAAAGG